CCUACGGGAGGCUGCAGUGGGGGAUAUUGCGCAAUGGGGGAAACCCUGAUGCAGCGACGCCGCGUGGGCGAUGAAGUAUUUCGGUAUGUAAAGCUCUAUCAGCAGGGACGUAGAAUUGACGGUAACUGAGUAAGAAGCACCGGCUAAAUACGUGCCAGCAGCCGCGGUAAUACGUAGGGUGCAAGUGUUAUCCGGAUUUACUGGGGGGAAAGGGAGCGUAGGGGGGACAGCAAGCCAGAUGUGAAAGCCCGCGGCGCAACCGCGGGACUGCAUUGGAAACUACCGGGCUGGAGUGCCGGAGAGGUAGGCGGAAUUCCUAGUGUAGCGGUGAAAUGCGUAGAUAUCAGGAGGAACACCGGCGGCGAAGGCGGCCUGCUGGACUGCGACUGACAUUGAGGCUCGAAAGCGUGGGGAGCGAACAGGAUUAGAUACCCUUGUAGUC
Molecule: ribosomal RNA, 442 nt
Filed under: uncultured bacterium
Lineage: Bacteria
Description: partial 16S ribosomal RNA
Rfam family: Bacterial small subunit ribosomal RNA
Source: RNAcentral